This 962-nucleotide ribosomal RNA is filed under the name Crocidura muricauda. Its description in RNAcentral is "partial 16S ribosomal RNA". It matches the Rfam family "Bacterial large subunit ribosomal RNA", at positions 958 to 2578 of the family's 2925-position model. Lineage: Eukaryota; Metazoa; Chordata; Mammalia; Eulipotyphla; Soricidae. The record is from RNAcentral.
AAAUUUUAAUGUAAACUUAAAUGCUAAUCUGCAGAGGUACAGCUCCGCAGAAUAAGAGUACAACCUUAAUUAGAGAGUAUACCUAUAUACCAACCAUAGUUGGCCUAAAAGCAGCCAUCAAUUAAGAAAGCGUUCAAGCUCAACAAUUAAACUUACACUUAAUUCAAAAAAUUACAUAAACUCCUAAUUUAAUCACUGGAUUAUUCUACUUACCCGUAGAAGAAAUACUGUUAAUAUGAGUAACAAGAUUUAUAUCUCCAAACACACCUGUAUGUCAGCCCGAAUCCUAACUGAUAGUUAACAAUUAGAUAAAUCUAUAUAUUGAAUUAAUAAUUUUCCAUUACAUUGUUAACCCAACACUGGAGUGUACUCAAGGAAAGAUUAAAAAAAGUAAAAGGAACUCGGCAAACAUAAACCCCGCCUGUUUACCAAAAACAUCACCUCUAGCAUUACCAGUAUUAGAGGCACUGCCUGCCCAGUGACAUUAGUUAAACGGCCGCGGUAUCCUGACCGUGCAAAGGUAGCAUAAUCAUUUGUUCCUUAAUUAGGGACUUGUAUGAAUGGCCCCACGAGGGUUUGACUGUCUCUUACUUUUAAUCAGUGAAAUUGACCUUCCCGUGAAGAGGCGGGAAUACAAAAAUAAGACGAGAAGACCCUAUGGAGCUUAAAUUAACACGCUCAACAAAAUUCAAUUUAACCCAACAGGAAUAAUGACAUUUUAACUGAGCAAUAAAUUUUGGUUGGGGUGACCUCGGAGUAUAACAAACCCUCCGAGAAAUUUAACCAAGACUUACUAGUCAAGGUCACAUAACUCAUUGAUCCAAUCACAUUGAUCAACGAAACAAGUUACCCUAGGGAUAACAGCGCAAUCCUAUUUGAGAGUCCGUAUCGACAAUAGGGUUUACGACCUCGAUGUUGGAUCAGGACACCCAAAUGGUGCAGCAGCUAUUAAAGGUUCGUUU